This is a long non-coding RNA of Vitis vinifera (wine grape), 581 nucleotides long. RefSeq lists it as uncharacterized. The record is from RefSeq and is a predicted model, not a curated record. NCBI's taxonomy places the organism in Eukaryota, Viridiplantae, Streptophyta, Magnoliopsida, Vitales, Vitaceae. The transcript is spliced from 3 exons.
UCUAAGAGAGCAAGAACCAGAGGCAAGUCUCUCUCUACUCGCUGCCUGCUACUCGCUACAAGGGGACCGAUAAACCCACACUUCCUAAGAAAGUAAGAACCAGAGGCGAAUACUCACCAGUAGAGAUGGAACCCACUAUGGAGCCGCAGAAUCCCAGAUUAGAGUCUAGUUUUUCUGGUGUUGUUGAAGAAGAAGAAGAAGAAGAGAAGCAUUUUCUUUCACAUUUUCUUCUCUUAAGCAACCAAGAGCAAGGAUAACUUCCUCAAUUACAGUUCAAGCCUAUGUAUUUUUAUGGGUCUUCCUCGCAACAAGGGUGACAUGAGACAACUUGUGGCAACAAUAUCACCAUCUUCUUUACCAAGCAAGCGGUCAAGUUUCCAAUUUAUUUGGCAUACUCAUGACUGGUGAGUCCACAUCUGUAGAGGAGCCUCGUUUCUCCAAUUUGAUAACCAGAUUGUGAGUGUUUAGUUAGACCGACAAUUUCGGACCAAAUUUCUAAUUGUCUAAUUUUCUAAUCCUUUCACAUAUUAUUUGGCUAAUAGAGAUCAAUUUGUUAAACUUGUCAAGAAACGAAGAUUUGU